UCCGGGAAACCGACCAGACCCUUGGGCAGGGGCGGGGGACCCAGGUUUUUCUGCCGUUCCCCACGGCUUGGGGUGAAGCCGCAUCAGGUGGAAGAAGGAUUCCGCCCGAGGCGGCCGGGCCACCUCCCGGUCCGAACCCGACAGCUCACCUCGCAGGCGUGCGGAGAGGGACA
Molecule: small RNA, 173 nt
Filed under: Streptomyces sp.
Lineage: Bacteria; Bacillati; Actinomycetota; Actinomycetes; Kitasatosporales; Streptomycetaceae
Description: c-di-AMP sequence
Rfam family: c-di-AMP riboswitch aptamer (ydaO/yuaA leader)
About the family: This family represents a conserved RNA structure found upstream of the ydaO and yuaA genes in Bacillus subtilis and related genes in other bacteria. The ydaO/yuaA element is thought to act as a genetic "off" switch for the ydaO and yuaA genes in its native state.
Source: RNAcentral